Molecule: RNA transcript, 2239 nt
Organism: Oryza brachyantha (malo sina)
Lineage: Eukaryota; Viridiplantae; Streptophyta; Magnoliopsida; Poales; Poaceae
Exons: 7
Source: RefSeq, a predicted model, not a curated record
CCUCCUUCGUCUUGCUGUUGCUGUUGCUGCUGCAGCUUUCCCUCCUUCCUCCUCCGCCCCCUCGGAUCCGCAGGAGUCGAUUCAUUUCUCCUCCCCCUUCCACACCCUUCUCCUUCUCUUCCCGGCUGCGCCACGCCGACACCGCCACCGCCAUCGUCCGCGCGGCGACGACAGCUCAGUGCUCACCAUGGGCGGGGCGGCGUCCUCCACCGGCAACCCUUCGCCGGAGGCGCAGGAGCAGCGGGAGCAGGAGGCCCUCGCGUCCGCCUCCCUCGCCCUCCCGCUCCUCCGCGCCGCCUUCACCCGCUCGGCCGCUUCGCUGGCGGAGGCGCUCUCCGUGCCCCACGGUGCCUCCUCCUUCCGAUCCGACUCGCCGGUGCCGGUGCCCCCGCACUUCCAGGGCCUCGUUGCUCGCCUCGGCUCCGCCAUCGCCUCGCUCUUCUUCUCCGACCUCGGCUCCGCGGGGGACGCCGGGUGGCUGGAGUUUCUCAGGGGAUUCAACCGCUGCUGCGCGCGCGUGCCGGCGUCGCAGUCGCUGGCGCUGGUCCUCCGCGUGUACGCCGCGGCCUGCGCCGAUGCGGGUGCCCCCUGCGGCCUGCAGUUCCACCCGGAUGAGGACGGCGAGGGGAAAGUCGUGGGGGAGCUGGCGCCGGGGGAGAUCGCGGUGUUGCUCUGGAUGUGCUGGGUCAUGGCGUGGAGCGGUUCGGCUCCGAGGGUUUCGGGUGGUCAGGAUGAGGCCAAGGGGGAACCCGUGGUGCUCCCGGACGUGACGCACCUGGUGCUGUCGGCCCUUGUGUCGGCGGGCGCCGUCGCGGAUGACGCUGGUGUUUGGGGCUGGGAGGUCUCCGGUGGUGGGAAGGGAGUGAAGGUACAGGAGUUCACGUCGUGGGUGCUGUCCACGGCAUCUGGGCUUGGCAACUACCUCUCGCGUUAUGUGCAGGAAAGGUUCCGGUCAUGCGCAGCUGAUCCAGUAGAGGAGCGUCCUGUUUCAACUGGUAACACGUCAUCUUGUAACCCUGAUGUAUAUUUAUUAACACGUGGGAAGGCAUGGGCAAUCUCUCUCAGCCUCAGAAACACGUUGAGUGAAAAAAUUUUGUCAGCAUCUGUCAUUGGAAUGGAUACAGAAGACCUUCUUUAUAGGUCGUCAGUUCAUGGAAAAGGGCUGAGCCGGUUUUGGUCUUGUGUUGAGGGAUAUAAAGGACCAGUGGUAAUUCUACUCUCAGCUUUCUCAAGUAGUGGUGAUGCUGAUAGAAGAUGGGGCAUUGGUAUAUUAACAGAGGAGGGCUUAGAGAACAAAGACACCUUCUAUGGUAGCUCUGGCUUCCUGUGCUCGACAUAUCCAAUAUUCCGCAUGCUUCCGCCAUCUGGUAAGGAGAAAAACUUCACAUAUUGCCACCUCCAUCCUCAGAUAAGGGUCUAUGAGGCAAAGCCAAAGCCUGUUGGUUUAGGAUUUGGUGGAACAAUUGGAAAUGAGAGGAUCUUUCUAGAUGAGGACUUCUCUAAACUUAUGGUUCGCCAUCAUGCUGUUGAUAAGACUUACCAACAUGGCUCUCUCAUUCCCAAUCAGGGCUACUUGCCUGUCGAGGCUUCAGUACUUGAUGUUGAAGUAUGGGGCCUUGGUGGAGAAGCAACGAGACGGCAACAAGAUGUGUACAAGAAGAGGGAGGAUAUUUUCUCAGAACAGCGAAGAAAGGUUGAUCUCAAAACAUUUGGCAAUUGGGAGGACUCUCCAGAGAAAAUGAUGAUGGACAUGAUUUCUGAUCCAAAUGCAGUUCGACGAGAGGACCGUUGAAUAUUAACUUCGGAGUAUAUGUUUAUAUAGCUGCCAUACAGAUUUGAACAUGGAAAAUGGACGAUCUUAAGGUUUCAUUUCUCAUAUCUUGGAGAUAUAUAGAGGUACCUGCACAUGUUUUCUCCGUUUGAUGUUGAGCGAUUUGGCUCGGCAACACAUCAUGUCAUCUGGUGAUUUUGGAGAAUGGUAUCACCUGAGUUCGCCAAGGAAGUUGUCAUCACAUGAUUAGUUCGCCGUCUUCCUCCCUCCCAUGUCUAAAGACUGAACAACAUAUAUCAGUUGACAGAAACUUGAAAAAUAUAACUUCAAUUUAUAGGAAAACCAUAAGAUAUCUAUAGGAAAUUUACUAUUUAGCCUCUUGACAUAAAAGUUGGGGACAGCAAUAAUUUUGUGAAAUUCCCAUGUAAUGACUCAAGACACGAAGAUUUUGGACAAAAGUUAUAAUGA